UACGAAGGGUGCAACCGUUGCUCGGAAUUAUUGGGCGUAAAGCGCACGUAGGCGGCUCGGCAAGUCGGAUGUGAAAUCCCACGGCUCAACCGUGGAACUGCCUUAGAUACUGACGGCCUCGAGGGAGAUAGGGGCGAGCGGAACUGUGAGUGGAGCGGUGAAAUGCGUUGAUAUUCACAGGAACUCCGGUGGCGAAGGCGGCUCGCUGGAUCUUUUCUGACGCUGAGGCGCGAAAGCUAGGGGAGCAAACGGG
RNAcentral lists this ribosomal RNA (253 nucleotides) under uncultured bacterium. Its description in RNAcentral is "partial 16S ribosomal RNA". It matches the Rfam family "Bacterial small subunit ribosomal RNA", at positions 524 to 776 of the family's 1533-position model. The record is from RNAcentral.